CCUCAGCGACAGAAGCCC
This 18-nucleotide small nuclear RNA is filed under the name Arabidopsis thaliana (thale cress). Its description in RNAcentral is "snRNA_14504". Lineage: Eukaryota; Viridiplantae; Streptophyta; Magnoliopsida; Brassicales; Brassicaceae. The record is from RNAcentral.